RNAcentral lists this ribosomal RNA (437 nucleotides) under uncultured Oscillospiraceae bacterium. RNAcentral describes it as "bacterial SSU rRNA". It matches the Rfam family "Bacterial small subunit ribosomal RNA", at positions 341 to 792 of the family's 1533-position model. The record is from RNAcentral. Lineage: Bacteria; Bacillati; Bacillota; Clostridia; Eubacteriales; Oscillospiraceae.
ACGGAAGGCAGCAGUGGGGAAUAUUAGGCAAUGGGGGCAACCCUGACCUAGCAACGCCGCGUGAGGGAAGAAGGCCUUCGGGUUGUAAACUUCUUUUAUAGGGGACGAAACGAAUGACGGUACCCUAUGAAUAAGCCACGGCUAACUACGUGCCAGCAGCCGCGGUAAUACGUAGGUGGCCAGCGUUGUCCGGAUUUACUGGGUGUAAAGGGAGCGUAGGCGGGAUGGCAAGUCAGAUGUGAAAUCCAUGGGCUCAACCCAUGAACUGCAUUUGAAACUGUUAUUCUUGAGUAUCGGAGAGGCAAGCGGAGUUCCUAGUGUAGCGGUGAAAUGCGUAGAUAUUAGGAGGAACACCAGUGGCGAAGGCGGCUUGCUGGACGAAAACUGACGCUGAGGCGCGAAAGCGUGGGGAGCAAACAGGAUUAGAUACCCUGGUA